AGGGAAUAAACCCUUGGAUUCACUCCGAGGGCUGAAGGUACCUGAAGAAUAAGCACCGGCUAACUCCGUGCCAGCAGGCCGCGGUAAUACGGAGGGUGCGAGCGUUAUCCGGAAUUACUGGGUUUAAAGGGUGCGUAGGCGGACUUGGUAAGUCAGAAGUGAAAGUUUGCGGCUCACCGUAAAAAUUGCUUUUGAUACUGCCGGGCUGGAAUCAGGAUGAGGUCAGCGGAAUGUGGCAUGUAGCGGUGAAAUGCAUAGAUAUGCCAUAGAACACCAAUUGCGAAGGCAGCUGGCUAGACCUGUAUUGACGCUGAGGCACGAAAGCGUGGGGAGCGAACAGGAUUAGAUACCCUGGUAGUCCACGCCCUAAACGAUGCUUACUCGACGUAUGAUGCUUGCCAUCGUGCGUCCAAGGGAAACCGUUAAGUAAGCCACCUGGGGAGUACGACCGCAAGGUUG
RNAcentral lists this ribosomal RNA (459 nucleotides) under uncultured Bacteroidota bacterium. RNAcentral's name for it is "bacterial SSU rRNA". It matches the Rfam family "Bacterial small subunit ribosomal RNA", at positions 441 to 896 of the family's 1533-position model. The record is from RNAcentral. Lineage: Bacteria; Pseudomonadati; Bacteroidota.